GACGAACCACACGAACGUUAUUCGGAAUUACUGGGCUUAAAGGGUGCGUAGGCUGUGCGGAAAGUUAGGUGUGAAAUCCCCCGGCUCAACCGGGGAAUUGCGCUUAAAACUACCGUGCUAGAGGAAUACAGAGGUGAGCGGAACUUCGGGUGGAGCGGUGAAAUGCGUUGAUAUCCGAAGGAACACCGGUGGCGAAAGCGGCUCACUAGGUAUUUUCUGACGCUGAUGCACGAAAGCUAGGGGAGCAAACGGG
Molecule: ribosomal RNA, 253 nt
Filed under: uncultured bacterium
Lineage: Bacteria
Description: partial 16S ribosomal RNA
Rfam family: Bacterial small subunit ribosomal RNA
Source: RNAcentral